UUAAAUUGAAGAGUUUGAUCAUGGCUCAGAUUGAACGCUGGCGGCAGGCCUAACACAUGCAAGUCGAACGGUAACAGGAAGCAGCUUGCUGCUUCGCUGACGAGUGGCGGACGGGUGAGUAAUGUCUGGGAAACUGCCUGAUGGAGGGGGAUAACUACUGGAAACGGUGGCUAAUACCGCAUAACGUCGCAAGACCAAAGAGGGGGACCUUCGGGCCUCUUGCCAUCAGAUGUGCCCAGAUGGGAUUAGCUUGUUGGUGAGGUAACGGCUCACCAAGGCGACGAUCCCUAGCUGGUCUGAGAGGAUGACCAGCCACACUGGAACUGAGACACGGUCCAGACUCCUACGGGAGGCAGCAGUGGGGAAUAUUGCACAAUGGGCGCAAGCCUGAUGCAGCCAUGCCGCGUGUAUGAAGAAGGCCUUCGGGUUGUAAAGUACUUUCAGCGGGGAGGAAGGUGUUGUGGUUAAUAACCGCAGCAAUUGACGUUACCCGCAGAAGAAGCACCGGCUAACUCCGUGCCAGCAGCCGCGGUAAUACGGAGGGUGCAAGCGUUAAUCGGAAUUACUGGGCGUAAAGCGCACGCAGGCGGUCUGUCAAGUCGGAUGUGAAAUCCCCGGGCUCAACCUGGGAACUGCAUUCGAAACUGGCAGGCUUGAGUCUUGUAGAGGGGGGUAGAAUUCCAGGUGUAGCGGUGAAAUGCGUAGAGAUCUGGAGGAAUACCGGUGGCGAAGGCGGCCCCCUGGACAAAGACGAUGGAUUGGUGCCUUCGGGAACUGUGAGACAGGUGCUGCAUGGCUGUCGUCAGCUCGUGUUGUGAAAUGUUGGGUUAAGUCCCGCAACGAGCGCAACCCUUAUCCUUUGUUGCCAGCGAUUAGGUCGGGAACUCAAAGGAGACUGCCAGUGAUAAACUGGAGGAAGGUGGGGAUGACGUCAAGUCAUCAUGGCCCUUACGACCAGGGCUACACACGUGCUACAAUGGCGCAUACAAAGAGAAGCGACCUCGCGAGAGCAAGCGGACCUCAUAAAGUGCGUCGUAGUCCGGAUUGGAGUCUGCAACUCGACUCCAUGAAGUCGGAAUCGCUAGUAAUCGUGGAUCAGAAUGCCACGGUGAAUACGUUCCCGGGCCUUGUACACACCGCCCGUCACACCAUGGGAGUGGGUUGCAAAAGAAGUAGGUAGCUUAACCUUCGGGAGGGCGCUUACCACUUUGUGAUUCAUGACUGGGGUGAAGUCGUAACAAGGUAACCGUAGGGGAACCUGCGGUUGGAUCACCUCCUUACCUUAAAGAA
This 1290-nucleotide ribosomal RNA is filed under the name Salmonella enterica subsp. enterica serovar Typhimurium. RNAcentral describes it as "partial 16S ribosomal RNA". It matches the Rfam family "Bacterial small subunit ribosomal RNA". The record is from RNAcentral. Lineage: Bacteria; Pseudomonadati; Pseudomonadota; Gammaproteobacteria; Enterobacterales; Enterobacteriaceae.